AACGCGAAGAACCUUACCAAGGCUUGACAUACACCGGAAACGGUCCAGAGAUGGUCGCCCCCUUGUGGUCGGUGUACAGGUGGUGCAUGGCUGUCGUCAGCUCGUGUCGUGAGAUGUUGGGUUAAGUCCCGCAACGAGCGCAACCCUUGUUCUGUGUUGCCAGCAUGCCCUUCGGGGUGAUGGGGACUCACAGGAGACUGCCGGGGUCAACUCGGAGGAAGGUGGGGACGACGUCAAGUCAUCAUGCCCCUUAUGUCUUGGGCUGCACACGUGCUACAAUGGCCGGUACAAAGAGCUGCGAAACCGUGAGGUGGAGCGAAUCUCAAAAAGCCGGUCUCAGUUCGGAUUGGGGUCUGCAACUCGACCCCAUGAAGUCGGAGUUGCUAGUAAUCGCAGAUCAGCAUUGCUGCGGUGAAUACGUUCCCGGGCCUUGUACACACCG
This 442-nucleotide ribosomal RNA is filed under the name uncultured bacterium. RNAcentral's name for it is "bacterial SSU rRNA". It matches the Rfam family "Bacterial small subunit ribosomal RNA", at positions 958 to 1392 of the family's 1533-position model. The record is from RNAcentral.